CCUACGGGAGGCAGCAGUGGGGAAUAUUGGGCAAUGGGCGCAAGCCUGACCCAGCAACGCCGCGUGAAGGAAGAAGGCUUUCGGGUUGUAAACUUCUUUUCUCAGGGACGAAGAAAGUGACGGUACCUGAGGAAUAAGCCACGGCUAACUACGUGCCAGCAGCCGCGGUAAUACGUAGGUGGCAAGCGUUAUCCGGAUUUACUGGGUGUAAAGGGCGUGUAGGCGGGGAAGCAAGUCAGAUGUGAAAAGCACGGGCGCAACCUGUGGCCUGCAUUUGAAACUGUUUUUCUUGAGUGCUGGAGAGGCAGACGGAAUUCCUAGUGUAGCGGUGAAAUGCGUAGAUAUUAGGAAGAACACCAGUGGCGAAGGCAGUCUGCUGGACAGCAACUGACGCUGAGGCGCGAAAGCGUGGGGAGCAAACAGGAUUAGAUACCCGUGUAGUC
Molecule: ribosomal RNA, 443 nt
Filed under: uncultured bacterium
Lineage: Bacteria
Description: partial 16S ribosomal RNA
Rfam family: Bacterial small subunit ribosomal RNA
Source: RNAcentral